GAUUAAGUUAUUAAGGGCGCACGGUGGAUGCCUUGGCACUAGAAGCCGAUGAAGGACGUUACUAACGACGAUAUGCUUUGGGGAGCUGUAAGUAAGCUUUGAUCCAGAGAUUUCCGAAUGGGGAAACCCAGCAUGAGUUAUGUCAUGUUAUCGAUAUGUGAAUACAUAGCAUAUCAGAAGGCACACCCGGAGAACUGAAACAUCUUAGUACCCGGAGGAAGAGAAAGAAAAUUCGAUUCCCUUAGUAGCGGCGAGCGAAACGGGAAGAGCCCAAACCAACAAGCUUGCUUGUUGGGGUUGUAGGACACUCUAUACGGAGUUACAAAGGACGACAUUAGACGAAUCAUCUGGAAAGAUGAAUCAAAGAAGGUAAUAAUCCUGUAGUCGAAAAUGUUGUCUCUCUUGAGUGGAUCCUGAGUACGACGGAGCACGUGAAAUUCCGUCGGAAUCUGGGAGGACCAUCUCCUAAGGCUAAAUACUCUCUAGUGACCGAUAGUGAACCAGUACCGUGAGGGAAAGGUGAAAAGCACCCCGGAAGGGGAGUGAAAUAGAACCUGAAACCGUGUGCUUACAAGUAGUCAGAGCCCGUUAAUGGGUGAUGGCGUGCCUUUUGUAGAAUGAACCGGCGAGUUACGAUUUGAUGCAAGGUUAAGCAGUAAAUGUGGAGCCGUAGCGAAAGCGAGUCUGAAUAGGGCGUUUAGUAUUUGGUCGUAGACCCGAAACCAGGUGAUCUACCCUUGGUCAGGUUGAAGUUCAGGUAACACUGAAUGGAGGACCGAACCGACUUACGUUGAAAAGUGAGCGGAUGAACUGAGGGUAGCGGAGAAAUUCCAAUCGAACCUGGAGAUAGCUGGUUCUCUCCGAAAUAGCUUUAGGGCUAGCCUCAAGUGAUGAUUAUUGGAGGUAGAGCACUGUUUGGACGAGGGGCCCCUCUCGGGUUACCGAAUUCAGACAAACUCCGAAUGCCAAUUAAUUUAACUUGGGAGUCAGAACAUGGGUGAUAAGGUCCGUGUUCGAAAGGGAAACAGCCCAGACCACCAGCUAAGGUCCCAAAAUAUAUGUUAAGUGGAAAAGGAUGUGGCGUUGCCCAGACAACUAGGAUGUUGGCUUAGAAGCAGCCAUCAUUUAAAGAGUGCGUAAUAGCUCACUAGUCGAGUGACACUGCGCCGAAAAUGUACCGGGGCUAAACAUAUUACCGAAGCUGUGGAUUGUCCUUUGGACAAUGGUAGGAGAGCGUUCUAAGGGCGUUGAAGCAUGAUCGUAAGGACAUGUGGAGCGCUUAGAAGUGAGAAUGCCGGUGUGAGUAGCGAAAGACGGGUGAGAAUCCCGUCCACCGAUUGACUAAGGUUUCCAGAGGAAGGCUCGUCCGCUCUGGGUUAGUCGGGUCCUAAGCUGAGGCCGACAGGCGUAGGCGAUGGAUAACAGGUUGAUAUUCCUGUACCACCUAUAAUCGUUUUAAUCGAUGGGGGGACGCAGUAGGAUAGGCGAAGCGUGCGAUUGGAUUGCACGUCUAAGCAGUAAGGCUGAGUAUUAGGCAAAUCCGGUACUCGUUAAGGCUGAGCUGUGAUGGGGAGAAGACAUUGUGUCUUCGAGUCGUUGAUUUCACACUGCCGAGAAAAGCCUCUAGAUAGAAAAUAGGUGCCCGUACCGCAAACCGACACAGGUAGUCAAGAUGAGAAUUCUAAGGUGAGCGAGCGAACUCUCGUUAAGGAACUCGGCAAAAUGACCCCGUAACUUCGGGAGAAGGGGUGCUCUUUAGGGUUAACGCCCAGAAGAGCCGCAGUGAAUAGGCCCAAGCGACUGUUUAUCAAAAACACAGGUCUCUGCUAAACCGUAAGGUGAUGUAUAGGGGCUGACGCCUGCCCGGUGCUGGAAGGUUAAGAGGAGUGGUUAGCUUCUGCGAAGCUACGAAUCGAAGCCCCAGUAAACGGCGGCCGUAACUAUAACGGUCCUAAGGUAGCGAAAUUCCUUGUCGGGUAAGUUCCGACCCGCACGAAAGGCGUAACGAUUUGGGCACUGUCUCAACGAGAGACUCGGUGAAAUCAUAGUACCUGUGAAGAUGCAGGUUACCCGCGACAGGACGGAAAGACCCCGUGGAGCUUUACUGUAGCCUGAUAUUGAAAUUCGGCACAGCUUGUACAGGAUAGGUAGGAGCCUUUGAAACGUGAGCGAUAGCUUACGUGGAGGCGCUGGUGGGAUACUACCCUAGCUGUGUUGGCUUUCUAACCCGCACCACUUAUCGUGGUGGGAGACAGUGUCAGGCGGGCAGUUUGACUGGGGCGGUCGCCUCCUAAAAGGUAACGGAGGCGCUCAAAGGUUCCCUCAGAAUGGUUGGAAAUCAUUCAUAGAGUGUAAAGGCAUAAGGGAGCUUGACUGCGAGACCUACAAGUCGAGCAGGGUCGAAAGACGGACUUAGUGAUCCGGUGGUUCCGCAUGGAAGGGCCAUCGCUCAACGGAUAAAAGCUACCCCGGGGAUAACAGGCUUAUCUCCCCCAAGAGUUCACAUCGACGGGGAGGUUUGGCACCUCGAUGUCGGCUCAUCGCAUCCUGGGGCUGUAGUCGGUCCCAAGGGUUGGGCUGUUCGCCCAUUAAAGCGGUACGCGAGCUGGGUUCAGAACGUCGUGAGACAGUUCGGUCCCUAUCCGUCGUGGGCGUAGGAAAUUUGAGAGGAGCUGUCCUUAGUACGAGAGGACCGGGAUGGACAUACCUCUGGUGUACCAGUUGUCGUGCCAACGGCAUAGCUGGGUAGCUAUGUGUGGACGGGAUAAGUGCUGAAAGCAUCUAAGCAUGAAGCCCCCCUCAAGAUGAGAUUUCCCAACUUCGGUUAUAAGAUCCCUCAAAGAUGAUGAGGUUAAUAGGUUCGAGGUGGAAGCAUGGUGACAUGUGGAGCUGACGAAUACUAAUCGAUCGAAGACUUAAUCAA
RNAcentral lists this ribosomal RNA (2923 nucleotides) under Staphylococcus aureus. RNAcentral's name for it is "23S ribosomal RNA". It matches the Rfam family "Bacterial large subunit ribosomal RNA". Lineage: Bacteria; Bacillati; Bacillota; Bacilli; Caryophanales; Staphylococcaceae. The record is from RNAcentral.